This 70-nucleotide transfer RNA is filed under the name Caudoviricetes sp. RNAcentral describes it as "tRNA-OTHER". It matches the Rfam family "tRNA". Rfam says of the family: Transfer RNA (tRNA) molecules are approximately 80 nucleotides in length. Their secondary structure includes four short double-helical elements and three loops (D, anti-codon, and T loops). Lineage: Duplodnaviria; Heunggongvirae; Uroviricota; Caudoviricetes. The record is from RNAcentral.
CCCCAUAUAGCUCAAUGGCAGAGCAUUCGGAUAUAUCCGAGGGGCGUAGGUUCAAACCCUACUAUGGGAA